RNAcentral lists this ribosomal RNA (497 nucleotides) under uncultured bacterium. RNAcentral describes it as "partial 16S ribosomal RNA". It matches the Rfam family "Bacterial small subunit ribosomal RNA", at positions 28 to 507 of the family's 1533-position model. The record is from RNAcentral.
GAUGAACGCUGGCGGCGUGCCUAAUACAUGCAAGUCGAGCGAACAGACGAGGAGCUUGCUCCUCUGACGUUAGCGGCGGACGGGUGAGUAACACGUGGAUAACCUACCUAUAAGACUGGGAUAACUUCGGGAAACCGGAGCUAAUACCGGAUAAUAUAUUGAACCGCAUGGUUCAAUAGUGAAAGACGGUUUUGCUGUCACUUAUAGAUGGAUCCGCGCCGCAUUAGCUAGUUGGUAAGGUAACGGCUUACCAAGUCAACGAUGCGUAGCCGACCUGAGAGGGUGAUCGGCCACACUGGAACUGAGACACGGUCCAGACUCCUACGGGAGGCAGCAGUAGGGAAUCUUCCGCAAUGGGCGAAAGCCUGACGGAGCAACGCCGCGUGAGUGACGAAGGUCUUCGGAUCGUAAAACUCUGUUAUUAGGGAAGAACAAAUGUGUAAGUAACUAUGCACGUCUUGACGGUACCUAAUCAGAAAGCCACGGCUAACUACGUG